Molecule: ribosomal RNA, 427 nt
Filed under: uncultured prokaryote
Description: bacterial SSU rRNA
Rfam family: Bacterial small subunit ribosomal RNA
Source: RNAcentral
UGGGGAAUUUUGGACAAUGGGCGCAAGCCUGAUCCAGCAAUGCCGCGUGCAGGAUGAAGGCCUUCGGGUUGUAAACUGCUUUUGUACGGAACGAAAAGGCUCUGGUUAAUACCUGGGGCCCAUGACGGUACCGUAAGAAUAAGCACCGGCUAACUACGUGCCAGCAGCCGCGGUAAUACGUAGGGUGCAAGCGUUAAUCGGAAUUACUGGGCGUAAAGCGUGCGCAGGCGGUGUUGUAAGACAGAGGUGAAAUCCCCGGGCUCAACCUGGGAACUGCCUUUGUGACUGCAACGCUAGAGUACGGCAGAGGGGGAUGGAAUUCCGCGUGUAGCAGUGAAAUGCGUAGAUAUGCGGAGGAACACCGAUGGCGAAGGCAAUCCCCUGGGCCUGUACUGACGCUCAUGCACGAAAGCGUGGGGAGCAAACA